Molecule: ribosomal RNA, 460 nt
Filed under: uncultured bacterium
Lineage: Bacteria
Description: partial 16S ribosomal RNA
Rfam family: Bacterial small subunit ribosomal RNA
Source: RNAcentral
CCUACGGGUGGCAGCAGUGAGGAAUUUUGGUCAAUGGACGAGAGUCUGAACCAGCCAAGUAGCGUGAAUGAUGACUGCCCUCUGGGCUGUAAACUUCUUUUAUAUGGGAAUAAAAUGGUCCACGUGUGUGUUUUCGUAUCUACCAUAUCAAACAGGAUAGGCUAACCUAGUUCCAUCAGACCCGGUACUACGGUGGAUACGAGGCUUAUCCGGAUUUAUUGGGUUUAAAGGGAGCGUAGGUGGAUUGUUAAGUCAGUUGUGAAGGUUUGCGGCUCAACCGUAAAAUUGCAGUUGAAACUGGCAGUCUUGAGUACAGUAGAGGUGAGCGGAAUUCGUGGUGUAGCGGUGAAAUGCUUAGAUAUCACGAAGAACUCCGGUUGCGAAGGCAGUUCACUGGACUGCAACUGACACUGAGGCUCGAAAGUGUGGGUAUCAAACAGGAUUAGAUACCCGUGUAGUC